This is a non-coding RNA of Ceratotherium simum simum (southern white rhinoceros), 783 nucleotides long. NCBI's taxonomy places the organism in Eukaryota, Metazoa, Chordata, Mammalia, Perissodactyla, Rhinocerotidae. The record is from RefSeq and is a predicted model, not a curated record.
CUAGAUUAGCUAUAGUUAGGGAGAUAUUUUUUAUCAACAGGUCAUUAUGGACAACAUCAAUCCAAGGGACAAAGCCUUUGGCCAUGGUAAUCAAUGGAGAGUAGAUGGGGUGUAAAACAGGGUCAACAAGUCUCGCCUAGACCUAUGAGAUUGCAGUUGGGUUUCUUCUUUAACAAGAACUUGAAAUGGAAUACUAUGAUAUCCUAAAAGGCCUUGUCCUGCCAUAUGCCAGCUGUCUAGACAUUCAUUAGCCUACGGUUCCCGAUACUAAUCACACACAAAGGUCUAUCCAAAAGGGGGCACAUAGAAUGCAAUGCCUUCUAAUUCUGUAGCAGUGUCAGUGGUCAGGAGCCCUUGGUAAGAUUCCUUCCAAUGAGGCUUGAGGGCUGUCUGCCUCUGAUGAUGCUUCUAGAAUACCCAGUCACCAGGCUCUAGACUGUGACCAACAGGAUCCUUUAAAUUGGAAUCUGGGAAAGUGUCUUUAACCUAUUGAUGAUGGGCUUGAGCAUAAGACAGUAGAGACUCACAAUGGCUGGUCAGACUCGCAUAAGACAACACGGGAUCAGCAGAAGGUUGUGUACCAACAGACACUGAUCUGCUGGUGACUGUCUCAUGUGGAGUCGGUUCAUGUUUUCCAAAUAGGGCCCUGCAAACAGUCAGCAAGACUGAAGGCAAUACCUUAUGCCAGGGGAGUCCAGUCCACAGUAUAUAACAAACCUCAAAGACAAUUAACAGGACAAGAAUCUAACGUCUACAAAGGUACAGACAGAAUUUUUCUCUCUA